RNAcentral lists this ribosomal RNA (508 nucleotides) under uncultured bacterium. Its description in RNAcentral is "partial 16S ribosomal RNA". It matches the Rfam family "Bacterial small subunit ribosomal RNA", at positions 28 to 507 of the family's 1533-position model. The record is from RNAcentral.
GACGAACGCUGGCGGCGUGCCUAAUACAUGCAAGUCGAACGCUUCUUUCCCCCCGAGUGCUUGCACUCAAUUGGAAAGAGGAGUGGCGGACGGGUGAGUAACACGUGGGUAACCUACCCAUCAGAGGGGGAUAACACUUGGAACCAGGUGCUAAUACCGCAUAACAGUUUAUGCCGCAUGGCAUAAGAGUGAAAGGCGCUUUCGGGUGUCGUUGAUGGAUGGACCCGCGGUGCAUUAGCUAGUUGGUGAGGUAACGGCUCACCAAGGCCACGAUGCAUAGCCGACCUGAGAGGGUGAUCGGCCACCCUGGGACUGAGACACGGCCCAGACUCCUACGGGAGGCAGCAGUAGGGAAUCUUCGGCAAUGGACGAAAGUCUGACCGAGCAACGCCGCGUGAGUGAAGAAGGUUUUCGGAUCGUAAAACUCUGUUGUUAGAGAAGAACAAGGGCGUUAGUAACUGAACGUCCCCUGACGGUAUCUAACCAGAAAGCCACGGCUAACUACGUG